GGAUGUUAGGACAAUCAUGCUACAACAUAUGUCACUCCACUGAUCACCAGGGUUGAUUUGGCUGAUGUGGCUGGCUAAGUGGGCAUCUCUAUCCUCCCUCACUGCUCCAUGUGCAUCUCUUCCAAAUGUGUGCAUGUGGUGGAAGAAUAUUACUACAGAAGGAAUGUACUAGACUUCAGCAAAAGGUAUAAAGUAGCUGUGUUCCCAUUAGAAUCUCCAAACAAGAUCAGUGUUCUUUUAUCUAAUGGUGCCUUCCCAGUUUAAAAUAAAUCAUGGGAGAUCAAUCUUCUA
This 291-nucleotide small nuclear RNA is filed under the name Pogona vitticeps (central bearded dragon). RNAcentral describes it as "7SK RNA (ENSPVIG00000001612.1)". It matches the Rfam family "7SK RNA", at positions 1 to 278 of the family's 331-position model. From Rfam's summary of the family: 7SK was discovered as an abundant small nuclear RNA in the mid-70s but a possible function has only recently been suggested. Two independent studies have found that 7SK RNA binds the CDK9/cyclin T complex (known as elongation factor P-TEFb). P-TEFb activates transcription by phosphorylating the C-terminal domain of RNA polymerase II. Lineage: Eukaryota; Metazoa; Chordata; Lepidosauria; Squamata; Agamidae. The record is from Rfam by way of RNAcentral.